Molecule: transfer RNA, 68 nt
Filed under: Bradyrhizobium vignae
Lineage: Bacteria; Pseudomonadati; Pseudomonadota; Alphaproteobacteria; Hyphomicrobiales; Nitrobacteraceae
Description: tRNA-Ser
Source: RNAcentral
GAUUUCAUGUGCCUCAAAACGGUUUCCUAAACCGUAGGUCGGAAGUUCGAGUCUUCCCGGGAUCGCCA